Andrographis paniculata is the source of this 1254-nucleotide long non-coding RNA. RefSeq lists it as uncharacterized. Lineage: Eukaryota; Viridiplantae; Streptophyta; Magnoliopsida; Lamiales; Acanthaceae. The record is from RefSeq and is a predicted model, not a curated record. The transcript has 3 exons.
CAUAGUGUGACUUCCCUAACUCUUUCCUCUCCAAAUCCAUCCAAGAAUUGAAGGGCUUCUUACUUUUCAUUCCUCUUCUUCUUCUUCCUAAACCUAAUUCUUCAGAUCUACUAACUUCAUAUUUUUAAUUUUGGCUUCUCUGAUUAAUUUCUUCACUCUUAUCCAAUUCUAUAUUUCAAAUUGUUGUUCAUAUCUUAAUUUCGAUAACAUUAAUUAUCGGAUAUAUAUAUAUAUAUUUGUUUUUAAUUAAACCUUUCUUGAUUGAUCAAAUCUUCACACUAUUAUUGAUUGUCUUUCACUGAUUCUAACUACUUUUUAAAUUUAUUAGGUAGUUCAGUUUAAAUUGAUGGUUAAAUCUGGCCAAACAAGAUCUUCAAUCUAUUCAAUACUUUUAUUUUUAUUUUUAUUAAUGUUUUUAGGGUUAUCUAAUAGCCACCCUUUUGAUAAAAAAAUUGAAGUUUUCAAAUAUAUUUUUUGAGCAAUGGAAAUGAAAAUAGGGUUCCUUUUGGUGAAAUGGAAAUAAGUUUCGAAAAUCGUUUAAAUUUAUUCGAUUUGUUAGUUAGCCAAUUAUUUCGCUUAACUUGUGUACUUCGAUUAGUUCUUGUCUUCUUCGAUUUGAAGGGUUUCUUUUCAAACUUGUGUUUACUAUUUGAGAUUAUUAUAUGUUCUUUUCGAGAUUUGAAUUGGGAUUAAAUGAAGUCGUUGAUUUCUAGUGUAGCAUCAUCAAAGAUUCACAUCUAAAUUAGGGUAUUGUGGUGAUAAUUUUUCAAAUAUAUAUAUAAAAUAUUUAUGCAUAAUGUUCAUCUUACUUCUUCAUAUGCCUCAUCUCUUCACUAAAGCCUUUAAAGUGGUGUGAAUCUUGAUGAUGCUGCAUUGGCAAUCAACGGCUAGCGUCGAACUAGCAGAAAAUCAACGGCCGCGAUUUAAGUCCACGGAAAUCCUCUCUUCUAUAAUCAAUGGGCUACGAUCCAGACAGACAGGAAUGGCAAACACCAAUCGUGUGAACUAAAUUAAAAUCAGCAGAUAAUCAAAUUAACUGGUACGUACAACGGGCGGUAAAAGUGUUCAGUUCAUUAGUUAAUCACCACAUAGAAACCAAGUACUUCUUAGGGCAUUGCUCUAUGUGGAUUAUUAUUCCAUAUUGUUAGUUCAUAUUAUGUAUUUGUAAUUAUACUACAGGUUGGCAAAUGUAUGUAUAUGUAUAUAUAUAUUAUAUGUUUGAUUGGUAUAGUGAUAAGAGAAUAUUUAUUACAA